RNAcentral lists this ribosomal RNA (412 nucleotides) under uncultured bacterium. RNAcentral's name for it is "bacterial SSU rRNA". It matches the Rfam family "Bacterial small subunit ribosomal RNA", at positions 8 to 446 of the family's 1533-position model. The record is from RNAcentral.
AGAGUUUGAUCCUGGCUCAGAACGAACGCUGGCGGCAGGCUUAACACAUGCAAGUCGAACGCGUGUAGCAAUACACGAGUGGCGCACGGGUGAGUAACACGUGGAUAUCUGCCUUUUGGUUCGGGAUAACCCUGGGAAACUAGGGCUAAUACCGAAUGGUUCCUACGGGAUAAAGAUUUAUCGCCAAAAGAUGAGUCCGCGUCCGAUUAGCUAGUUGGUGAGGUAACGGCUCACCAAGGCGACGAUCGGUAGCUGGUCUGAGAGGACGAUCAGCCACACUGGGACUGAGACACGGCCCAGACUCCUACGGGAGGCAGCAGUGGGGAAUAUUGGACAAUGGGGGCAACCCUGAUCCAGCCAUGCCGCGUGAGUGAUGAAGGCCUUCGGGUUGUAAAGCUCUUUUGGCGGGGAC